CGGUCUGGACAAUCGCUGCACACGUAGAGGAAAGUCCAUGCUCGCACGGGCUGCGAUGCUCGUAGUGAUUGCGCUAGCGGAAAUAAUAACGCUAGGUACGUAGGAGUACGUAACGGCGGGAACCUUAACCUAAGGGCAACUAUGGUUAAGACCCUGAAAGUGCCACAGUGACGUAGUUUAUUAGAAAUAAUAAAGUGGAACGCGGUAAACCCCACAAGCGAGAAACCCA
Molecule: RNase P RNA, 229 nt
Filed under: Bacilli bacterium
Lineage: Bacteria; Bacillati; Bacillota; Bacilli
Description: partial RNase P RNA component class B
Rfam family: Bacterial RNase P class B
About the family: Ribonuclease P (RNase P) is a ubiquitous endoribonuclease, found in archaea, bacteria and eukarya as well as chloroplasts and mitochondria.
Source: RNAcentral